AGUCGAGGGGCAUCAGGGUGUAGCAAUACACCGCUGGCGACCGGCGCACGGGUGAGUAACACGUAUCCAACCUGCCCUUUACUCGGGGAUAGCCUUUCGAAAGAAAGAUUAAUACCCGAUGGCAUAACAUGACCUCCUGGUUUUGUUAUUAAAGAAUUUCGGUAGAGGAUGGGGAUGCGUUCCAUUAGGCAGUUGGCGGGGUAACGGCCCACCAAACCUUCGAUGGAUAGGGGUUCUGAGAGGAAGGUCCCCCACAUUGGAACUGAGACACGGCCCAAACUCCUACGGGAGGCAGCAGUGAGGAAUAUUGGUCAAUGGGCGAGAGCCUGAACCAGCCAAGUAGCGUGAAGGAUGACCGCCCUAUGGGUUGUAAACUUCUUUUAUAUGGGAAUAAAGUCUGCCACGUGUGGCAUUUUGUAUGUACCAUAUGAAUAAGGAUCGGCUAACUCCGUGCCAGCAGCCGCGGUAAUACGGAGGAUCCGAGCGUUAUCCGGAUUUAUUGGGUUUAAAGGGAGCGUAGGUGGACAUGUAAGUCAGUUGUGAAAGUUUGCGGCUCAACCGUAAAAUUGCAGUUGAUACUGCGUGUCUUGAGUACAGUAGAGGUGGGCGGAAUUCGUGGUGUAGCGGUGAAAUGCUUAGAUAUCACGAAGAACUCCGAUUGCGAAGGCAGCUCACUGGACUGCAACUGACACU
RNAcentral lists this ribosomal RNA (693 nucleotides) under uncultured bacterium. RNAcentral describes it as "bacterial SSU rRNA". It matches the Rfam family "Bacterial small subunit ribosomal RNA", at positions 60 to 747 of the family's 1533-position model. The record is from RNAcentral.